Molecule: long non-coding RNA, 198 nt
Organism: Physella acuta
Lineage: Eukaryota; Metazoa; Mollusca; Gastropoda; Physidae
Source: RefSeq, a predicted model, not a curated record
CCUACACUGACACUACACUUGAAUGACGCCACAGACAGUCGUAACUUUAAAUUAAUGUUCAAAAGUGUUUCUAAAAGCCAGAAUUUUAAAGGGGAGGGCGGUCGUUUUUUUUCUCAAGAAUAAUUAUAGAAAUAAGCUAUAAACUGGUAUAUUUUGUAAAGUUUGACAUAAUUACAAAUAAAUGUAUGCCUAAGUGAC